Molecule: transfer RNA, 71 nt
Filed under: Loxodonta africana (African savanna elephant)
Lineage: Eukaryota; Metazoa; Chordata; Mammalia; Proboscidea; Elephantidae
Rfam family: tRNA
About the family: Transfer RNA (tRNA) molecules are approximately 80 nucleotides in length.
Source: Rfam by way of RNAcentral
GUAAUGGUGGUUCAGUGGUAGAAUUCUUGCCUUCCAUGCAGGAGACCCAGGUUCAAUUCCCAGCCAAUGCA